Selaginella moellendorffii is the source of this 617-nucleotide long non-coding RNA. RefSeq lists it as uncharacterized. Lineage: Eukaryota; Viridiplantae; Streptophyta; Lycopodiopsida; Selaginellales; Selaginellaceae. The record is from RefSeq and is a predicted model, not a curated record. The transcript is spliced from 2 exons.
CUCGCGAAGCAGUCAGUCAGGUGGUGGCUCACGCGGGGAAGAACGACUCAAUCGGCGGGACGAAGAUGAGAAGCUCUCCCUUCUUUUCUUCUCGAGAAAGAAGGAUAACUUCCUCGAAAAGAAAGAAAGGGAAGCUCUCGGUUCCAAUCCAGAGAGCCGUGCUGCCUCUCUCCUGACGCUACUGCGCCAAAGUGGCGAGAUUUGCGUUGUUUCUAGGUGGUGGAGGUGGGCUUGUUUUGGAGGAUUUUGACCCCGAGCUUUUGCCUCGUAGUGCUGCCGCUACAUGGCUAUGGCGUACUGGAAGAUGCUUUGGAUUCACACACUGAAAGAGAGGGAGGAGCUCUCUCAAUCAUUCGAGACCAUGCAUAUGAAAAAAAGAGGCCCCGGGACAAAAUAGCACAGGCAUGUGGAUGGUGCAAAGCCAUCCAUCAACACCUUAGCGGCAAAUCUUUCGCUAUCUUUUGGAUGCUCGUCUUUGUCAGCUCGCUCCAAACAAAAACAAACACGCCCCCGGGUUUUAGUAUUCAAUCCCGACGAACAUUAUACGCAGUGAAAUCUUGCCUUGGGCAGUAAGAUUUGCCAUUGAUAUUAAUAAAACAUUUGAGAAUAGUAAUCAA